Molecule: ribosomal RNA, 434 nt
Filed under: uncultured bacterium
Lineage: Bacteria
Description: bacterial SSU rRNA
Rfam family: Bacterial small subunit ribosomal RNA
Source: RNAcentral
CGCGAACGGGUGAGUAACACGUGGGUAACCUACCCCGAUGACCGGGACAACCCGAGGAAACUCGGGCUAAUACCGGAUGUGUCCCAUGUUCACGAGGACAUGGUGCAAAGGUAGCUUCGGCCUCCGCAUCGGGAUGGGCCCGCGGCCAUUAGCUUGUUGGUGGGGUAACGGCCUACCAAGGCUGCGAUGGGUAGCUGGUCUGAGAGGGCGGACGGACACACUGGGACUGAGACACGGCCCAGACUCCUACGGGAGGCAGCAGUGGGGAAUUGUGCACAAUGGGCGCAAGCCUGAUGACGCAACGCCGCGUGGAGGAUGAAGGUCUUCGGAUUGUAAACUCCUGUUGCUCGGGACGAAAAGCUUUGACCUAACACGUCAGAGUCUGACGGUACCGAGUGAGGAAGCCCCGGCUAACUCUGUGCCAGCCGCCGCGG